RNAcentral lists this ribosomal RNA (543 nucleotides) under Triticum aestivum (bread wheat). Its description in RNAcentral is "partial small subunit ribosomal RNA". Lineage: Eukaryota; Viridiplantae; Streptophyta; Magnoliopsida; Poales; Poaceae. The record is from RNAcentral.
AUGUUUGCUUGUGUGGUAGUUUGCUUGUUUGUCGCGAUGGCUCAAGAUGCUACCAAAUUGUGUGACUUCACUAAUACCAAUAAUAAUGACUUCCUUAGCACUCCGAUUGCUCCUCUUGUCAAUACUGAAUCUUGUGAAAUCAAUACUGCUUUGUUGAAUCUUGUUAUGAAAGAUCAAUUCGCCGGCCUUCCUAGUGAAGAUGCCGCUACUCAUCUGAAUAGCUUUGUUGAUUUUUGUGAUAUGCAAAAUAAAAAAGAUGUCGAUAAUGAUGUCGUUAAGUUGAAGUUAUUUCCUUUUUCGCUUAGAGAUCGUGCUAAAGCGUGGUUUUCAUCUUUGCCUAAAAAUAGUAUUGAUUCUUGGAACAAGUGCAAAGAUGCUUUUAUCUCUAAGUAUUUUCCUCCCGCUAAGAUCAUCUCUCUUAGGAACGAUAUUAUGAAUUUUAAGCAACUUGAUCAUGAACAUGUUGCACAAGCUUGGGAGAGAAUGAAAUUAAUGAUACGUAAUUGUCCUACUCAUGGUUUGAACUUGUGGAUGAUUAUAUAA